This is a non-coding RNA of Ictidomys tridecemlineatus (thirteen-lined ground squirrel), 268 nucleotides long. The record is from RefSeq and is a predicted model, not a curated record. Lineage: Eukaryota; Metazoa; Chordata; Mammalia; Rodentia; Sciuridae.
CACAGAAAUGAAGUGAACGUCCCCUACCAGAGCCAUUUACCCACCCCACCUUUUUCCUGACCCACUAGGCAAGCUCCUCAGCCUCCCUGGGACGGCAGGAAGUGUGGUCUGCUAAUCCCAGUCCUGUGCAGCGCUGACCCAGGAGGGCUGAAUAAAAUCCCAGUGUGUGGAGACAAGGCAUCUUCUUUGUCCGUUCAUCUGUUGACAGACUCCUAGGCUGACCUACAGCUUGACAAUCGUGAAUUGUGCUGCAAUAAACCUGGGUAUG